RNAcentral lists this ribosomal RNA (194 nucleotides) under uncultured Prevotella sp. RNAcentral's name for it is "partial 16S ribosomal RNA". Lineage: Bacteria; Pseudomonadati; Bacteroidota; Bacteroidia; Bacteroidales; Prevotellaceae. The record is from RNAcentral.
GGAGUCUGGUCCGUGUCUCAGUACCAGUGUGGGGGACCUUCCUCUCAGAACCCCUACCGAUCGAAGGCUUGGUGGGCCGUUACCCCGCCAACAACCUAAUCGGACGCAUCCCCAUCCCUUAGCGAUAAAUCUUUGGUUCACUUCAGAUGUCCUCGACGAACAACAUAGGGUAUUAAUCCGACUUUCGUCCGGGC